This 450-nucleotide ribosomal RNA is filed under the name uncultured bacterium. Its description in RNAcentral is "bacterial SSU rRNA". It matches the Rfam family "Bacterial small subunit ribosomal RNA", at positions 329 to 793 of the family's 1533-position model. The record is from RNAcentral.
GUCCAGACUCCUACGGGAGGCAGCAGUGGGGAAUAUUGGACAAUGGGGGGAACCCUGAUCCAGCGACGCCGCGUGAGUGAAGAAGUAUUUCGGUAUGUAAAGCUCUAUCAGCAGGGAAGAAAGAAAUGACGGUACCUGAGUAAGAAGCACCGGCUAAAUACGUGCCAGCAGCCGCGGUAAUACGUAUGGUGCAAGCGUUAUCCGGAUUUACUGGGUGUAAAGGGAGCGCAGGCGGCACGGCAAGCCUGAUGUGAAAGCCCGCGGCCCAACCGCGGGACUGCAUUGGGAACUACCGGGCUGGAGUGCCGGAGAGGUAGGCGGAAUUCCUAGUGUAGCGGUGAAAUGCGUAGAUAUUAGGAGGAACACCAGUGGCGAAGGCGGCUUACUGGACUGUAACUGACGUUGAGGCUCGAAAGCGUGGGGAGCAAACAGGAUUAGAUACCCGCGUAC